Molecule: ribosomal RNA, 253 nt
Filed under: uncultured bacterium
Lineage: Bacteria
Description: partial 16S ribosomal RNA
Rfam family: Bacterial small subunit ribosomal RNA
Source: RNAcentral
UACAGAGGGGGCAAGCGUUAUUCGGAAUUAUUGGGCGUAAAGGGCGCGUAGGCGGCCUGGCAAGUGGAAGGUGAAAUCCCUCGGCUUAACCGAGGAACUGCCCUCCAAACUGCUUGGCUUGAGUCCGGGAGAGGUGAGUGGAAUUCCCAGUGUAGCGGUGAAAUGCGUAGAUAUCUGGAGGAACACCGGUGGCGAAGGCGGCAUCCUGGACCGGUAUUGACGCUGAGGCGCGAAAGCCAGGGGAGCAAACGGG